GCAAGUCGAGCGAUUACUUCGGUAAAGAGCGGCGGACGGGUGAGUAACGACGUGGGUAACCUGCCUCAUACACAUGGAUAACAUACCGAAGGGUAUGCUAAUACAGGAUAAUAUAAGAGAUUCACAUGGAUUUCUUAUCAAAGCUCCGGCGGUAUGAGAUGGAACCCGCGUCUGAUUAGCUAGUUGGUAAGGUAAUGGCUUACCAAGGCGACGAUCAGUAGCCGACCUGAGAGGGUGAUCGGCCACAUUGGAACUGAGACACGGUCCAAACUCCUACGGGAGGCAGCAGUGGGGAAUAUUGCACAAUGGGCGAAAGCCUGAUGCCAGCAACGCCGCGUGAGUGAUGAAGGCCUUCGGGUCGUAAAAACUCUGUCCUCAAGGAAGAUAAUGACGGUACUUGAGGAGGAAGCCCCGGCUAACUACGUGCCAGCCGCAGC
Molecule: ribosomal RNA, 437 nt
Filed under: uncultured bacterium
Lineage: Bacteria
Description: bacterial SSU rRNA
Rfam family: Bacterial small subunit ribosomal RNA
Source: RNAcentral